UACGAAGGGGGCUAGCGUUGCUCGGAUUGACUGGGCGUAAAGGGCGCGUAGGCGGUUUUGUAAGCCAGAUGUGAAAUCCCCGGGCUUAACCUGGGAAUGGCAUUUGGGACUGCAAGGCUGGAGUGUGGCAGAGGAGACUGGAAUUCCUGGUGUAGCAGUGAAAUGCGUAGAUAUCAGGAGGAAUACCGAUGGCGAAGGCAGGUCUCUGGGCUGACACUGACGCUCAUGCACGAAAGCGUGGGGAGCAAACAGG
RNAcentral lists this ribosomal RNA (253 nucleotides) under uncultured bacterium. RNAcentral describes it as "partial 16S ribosomal RNA". It matches the Rfam family "Bacterial small subunit ribosomal RNA", at positions 524 to 776 of the family's 1533-position model. The record is from RNAcentral.